UUAAAACUAUUUUUACUUCAUAAGAUAGUCUUUAUAAUUAGUUUCAGUUAAGGAUUUUGUGUCGAGAAUACGAAAGAGAUAAUUGGAAGCAGACAUUUGCUUUGCAGAGAGUAAAAAUUCAAGUUAGAUAUUUGUAGUUGUUUUGAAAAUUUGUUUUAGGGAUUUUAAAAAAUAAAUUUAGCCUCAUACUAUUUUCUUGAGUCUCUUACACUCCUCGGUUAG
Molecule: long non-coding RNA, 222 nt
Filed under: Ananas comosus (pineapple)
Lineage: Eukaryota; Viridiplantae; Streptophyta; Magnoliopsida; Poales; Bromeliaceae
Description: long non-coding RNA (ACOM_LNC026780)
Source: RNAcentral